This 497-nucleotide ribosomal RNA is filed under the name uncultured bacterium. RNAcentral describes it as "partial 16S ribosomal RNA". It matches the Rfam family "Bacterial small subunit ribosomal RNA", at positions 28 to 507 of the family's 1533-position model. The record is from RNAcentral.
GACGAACGCUGGCGGCGUGCCUAAUACAUGCAAGUUGAGCGCUGAAGGUUGGUACUUGUACCAACUGGAUGAGCAGCGAACGGGUGAGUAACGCGUGGGGAAUCUGCCUUUGAGCGGGGGACAACAUUUGGAAACGAAUGCUAAUACCGCAUAAAAACUUUAAACACAAGUUUUAAGUUUGAAAGAUGCAAUUGCAUCACUCAAAGAUGAUCCCGCGUUGUAUUAGCUAGUUGGUGAGGUAAAGGCUCACCAAGGCGAUGAUACAUAGCCGACCUGAGAGGGUGAUCGGCCACAUUGGGACUGAGACACGGCCCAAACUCCUACGGGAGGCAGCAGUAGGGAAUCUUCGGCAAUGGACGAAAGUCUGACCGAGCAACGCCGCGUGAGUGAAGAAGGUUUUCGGAUCGUAAAACUCUGUUGGUAGGGAAGAACGUUGGUGAGAGUGGAAAGCUCAUCAAGUGACGGUAACUACCCAGAAAGGGACGGCUGACUACGUG